GGCCGCCUGGCGUAAUGGCAACGCGUCUGACUUCGAUUUAAUAGUUGGAAUCAGAAGAUUGUAGGUUCGACCCCUGCGGCGGUCA
This is a transfer RNA of Sphaerobolus stellatus SS14, 85 nucleotides long. It matches the Rfam family "tRNA". From Rfam's summary of the family: Transfer RNA (tRNA) molecules are approximately 80 nucleotides in length. Their secondary structure includes four short double-helical elements and three loops (D, anti-codon, and T loops). Further hydrogen bonds mediate the characteristic L-shaped molecular structure. tRNAs have two regions of fundamental functional importance: the anti-codon, which is responsible for specific mRNA codon recognition, and the 3' end, to which the tRNAs corresponding amino acid is attached (by aminoacyl-tRNA synthetases). tRNAs cope with the degeneracy of the genetic code in two manners: having more than one tRNA (with a specific anti-codon) for a particular amino acid; and 'wobble' base-pairing, i.e. permitting non-standard base-pairing at the 3rd anti-codon position. The record is from Rfam. Lineage: Eukaryota; Fungi; Basidiomycota; Agaricomycetes; Geastrales; Sphaerobolaceae.